GUUGAGGCUGGAGUUAGAGAGGUGGAGUCUGGAUGCUGAGUCUGGGUCUUUAGAGAGGUGGAGUCUGGAUGCUGAGUCUGGGUCUUUAGAGAGGUGGAGUCUGGAUGCUGAGUCUGGGUCUUUAGUGAGGUGGAGUCUGGAUGCUGAGUCUGGGUCUUUAGAGAGGUGGAGUCUGGAUGCUGAGUCUGGGUCUUUAGAGAGGUGGAGUCUGGAUGCUGAGAACUGGGUCUUUAGUGAGGUGGAGUCUGGAUGCUGAGUCUGGGUCUUUUUGUAACUCCUUGAGUAGAUGUUGUUCAGUUCGCCUUGUUGAGGCUGGAGUUAGAGAGGUGGAGUCUGGAUGCUGAGUCUGGGUCUUUAGUGAGGUGGAGUCUGGAUGCUGAGUCUGGGUCUUUAGUGAGGUGGAGUCUGGAUGCUGAGUCUGGGUCUUUAGUGAGGUGGAGUCUGGAUGCUGAGUCUGGGUCUUUAGUGAGGUGGAGUCUGGAUGCUGAGUCUGGGUCUUUAGAGAGGUUGAGUCUGGAUGCUGAGUCUGGGUCUUUAGUGAGGUGGAGUCUGGAUGCUGAGUCUGGGUCUUUAGAGAGGUGGAGUCUGGAUGCUGAGUCUGGGUCUUUAGUGAGGUGGAAUCUGGAUGCUGAGUCUGGGUCUUUAGUGAGGUGGAGUCUGGAUGCUGAGUCUGGGUCUUUAGAGAGGUGGAGUCUGGAUGCUGAGUCUGGGUCUUUAGAGAGGUGGAGUCUGGAUGCUGA
Long non-coding RNA from Oncorhynchus tshawytscha (Chinook salmon), 740 nucleotides. The record is from Ensembl. NCBI's taxonomy places the organism in Eukaryota, Metazoa, Chordata, Actinopteri, Salmoniformes, Salmonidae.